RNAcentral lists this ribosomal RNA (119 nucleotides) under Pteropus vampyrus (large flying fox). The record is from RNAcentral. Lineage: Eukaryota; Metazoa; Chordata; Mammalia; Chiroptera; Pteropodidae.
GUCCAUGUCCAUGCUACCCUGAACAAGCCCAAUCCCGUCUGAUCUCGGAAGCUAAGCACGAUCGAGCCUGGUUAGUACUUGGAUGGGAGACCACCUACGAAGACCAGGGACUGUAGCAU